UACGUAGGGUGCGAGCGUUAAUCGGAAUUACUGGGCGUAAAGCGUGCGCAGGCGGUUCGUUAAGUCAGAUGUGAAAGCCCCGGGCUCAACCUGGGAACUGCAUUUGAAACUGGCAGGCUUGAGUGUGGCAGAGGGGGUGGAAUUCCACGUGUAGCAGUGAAAUGCGUAGAGAUGUGGAGGAACACCGAUGGCGAAGGCAGCCCCUGGGCUAACACUGACGCCUCAUGCACGAAAGCGUGGGGAGCAAACAGG
This 252-nucleotide ribosomal RNA is filed under the name uncultured bacterium. RNAcentral's name for it is "partial 16S ribosomal RNA". It matches the Rfam family "Bacterial small subunit ribosomal RNA", at positions 524 to 776 of the family's 1533-position model. The record is from RNAcentral.